RNAcentral lists this unclassified non-coding RNA (434 nucleotides) under Hevea brasiliensis (rubber tree). The record is from RNAcentral. Lineage: Eukaryota; Viridiplantae; Streptophyta; Magnoliopsida; Malpighiales; Euphorbiaceae.
CUCAAAAUGACGAUGAAAAAUAAUAAAAUUUUAUAUCAUUUCUUCUUCUUCUUCUGAACUGGAAAGGCGUGGUUAUUACUUAUGCUAUGCGAUAGCCCUGAUUUAGCAUCACUACUUAUAAAAAAGUUGAUCUCUAAUGAAUUAGAAUGGAGAAAUUAAUGUACAUAUGAGUAGACACUUGCAAAUACUCUGGAUAUGUAUAGGAAGUGCAAGUAUAUAGCAAACCAGGCUAUAUAUUCUUCCCCACUUUACUUAAAAAGUUGUAUAAGACAACAUUUUUCAGGCAUUCAAAAAUAUAAAGGGGAAAAGUUUUUUAAGUGAUAAUCAUGACAAGAAAAAUAAUAUGGCAUGCACGUUGGAAGAAAAUGACUCAAAACACAAAUGUUGCCAAACCCAUAAAAUGAUUAGUUCUUAGCAGGAUUCCUUAUUGUGAG